This 278-nucleotide ribosomal RNA is filed under the name Fidelibacterota bacterium. RNAcentral's name for it is "partial 23S ribosomal RNA". It matches the Rfam family "Bacterial large subunit ribosomal RNA", at positions 2658 to 2925 of the family's 2925-position model. The record is from RNAcentral. Lineage: Bacteria; Pseudomonadati; Fidelibacterota.
AAAUUUGAAUGGAUCUGCUUCUAGUACGAGAGGACCGAAGUGGACGAACCUCUAGUGUACCAGUUGUUCCGUCAGGGGCAGUGCUGGGUAGCUACGUUCGGAAAGGAUAAGCGCUGAAAGCAUAUAAGCGCGAAACCCACCUUAAGAUUAGAUUUCCCUACCUAUAUGGUAAUAAGGCUCGUUGGAGACUACAACGUCGAUAGGCUACAGGUGUAAGUGCAGUAAUGCAUUCAGCCGAGUAGUACUAAUUAGCCGAACGGCUUUAUCAAAUUAUUAUU